CUCGUAGGCGGCCAACUAAGUCAGACGUGAAAUCCCUCGGCUUAACCGGGGAACUGCGUCUGAUACUGGAUGGCUUGAAUCCGGGAGAGGGAUGUGGAAUUCCAGGUGUAGCGGUGAAAUGCGUAGAUAUCUGGAGGAACACCGGUGGCGAAGGCGGCAUCCUGGACCGGCAUUGACGCUGAGGAGCGAAAGCCAGGGAGCAAACG
RNAcentral lists this ribosomal RNA (206 nucleotides) under uncultured bacterium. RNAcentral's name for it is "partial 16S ribosomal RNA". It matches the Rfam family "Bacterial small subunit ribosomal RNA", at positions 568 to 774 of the family's 1533-position model. The record is from RNAcentral.